GAUAGAUUUAGGCUGAGCUCGGGCUGAAAUUUGGGAUUAAAGAUUAAAAUAUCUUUCUGCUGUGAUGUGAGAUCUGCUGUUUUCAGUGGAGGAAUACGUAUUGCUCCAUAUGUUUGAUUGCCCCAAUGUAUGGUUUUGAGAUCAUUUCCUGGGCCUGCUCAGAUAUCCAGCAAGAGCACCUCCAUCGCCACCUAAUUGCCUCUGACAAAAUCUGCAUAAGGCUUUAUUUCCUGGUGCAACUUCAAAAGUAUCAUUCAGAUUAAUGGAAAUAACAAAGGAAACACAUUUCUGUCUGAAAUCAGAUCCGUGCAGUGGAAGGACUCCCACAUCUAUGGCUUAGCAUUCUGUUGCUGUUGUCUUUUAUUUUUUUCUUAAGAAAUAAAAAACAAAACAUUUUAUGUACCUUCUGUUUGCUGCUCUCACUUUGUCAAAAUAAUCACUAUGAGUACAUCACACAAAGUUACCACUAUGUUUAAGGCCUCCUCUCGUUGAACUGAGAAUGUUUCUCUCUUUUAAAGUCAUGUAUUUUCUCUCUCUCUAAAGCUGUGCUUCUCACACUGUGAAGCCGCUCUCUCCAGAGAGGCUCCAUUCCUUUCCAGAGAAGGCUGAAACAAUUUGAGUGAAAAUGAGCUGGGAAAAAACAAACAAACAAAAGCUGGGUGUUGGAUACCCACUGCACGAAUCUGUGCUCUGUGGGCGCUUUCUCCACCCCAGCUCCAUGGAGCAUGGAAAGGCAGAAAAUAGCAGCCAGCUCUGGCCACAUCUGUAGUAUUGCAUGGAGAUAUAUCUACAACACCCUUAACUCUGUAUAAGAAUAGGAAGUAUGGAAAAAUUGAACAUAAUACAGUGCAGAACAUAGCAGUUCAACAAGCAUUCCCCAGGUAGUCCUUUCUCGGAAGCCAUCCAUGAGAUAUGGUGUCCCACUGCCCACCAGCAUGGGGUUCCUAGUGGGUGGAGCAGGGCAUGGUGUGAGCAGCUGCUGGUGGUGUGAGGCCAUGCAGGCAGCAACACGUGCGAAUGCAGUGAGGUCUGUGAGGGCACUUCAGUAUCUUCAGUGGUCUGUAGAUAGAGUCCACAUAGAACUACUUUUUCUGUAGAAAAGUUCACAUAGCAUGAUGUGGACUUUUCCCAUUUAUUCUACUGACUGUCACUCCCAUGGCCCUUUACAGAGACAUGUGUGAUUUUGAUCAGGUGUGGACAUUCUGAGUUUUAUGGGGAGAAGCAGAGUGAUUUUCUUUUCCUGUAGUCUUCCUUUUUCUUUUUUUUUCUUUUUUUUCUUUUUUCUUUUUUUUCUUUUAUUUUUUUUUCCCUAUACAAACAGAGAAUCCAGCUUUUCAUCUCUGUUACUCAUUGUAUGGUACUAUCAUUGUGUAUGCAUUGAUAUACACACAUUUUUACAAGUUAUAUAUAGGACUUUGGCCCUGGUACUACUUACAGACAUUAAAGCUUUCAGCAUCAUUGACUUAGGAACGGUCUGAAACUGAGUCAAUGUUUGAAACAGAAAUCAGUGCAUUCAGGGUGUAUUGUGCUCCCUGGAAGGUCUGAGACACUUCAGGGACCGCCAAUUCCAACCUUUGGAAGCCAUGUCAUCUGCACACCUCCACGUUGACGUUGCUCUCACAGCCUUUCCUCGGAGAAGUAACUGCUGAGUGGCGCGACCGUAUAAAGAAAACUUCCAGUGACUUUAGGGAUACGACUUAAUUCGUUUUGCUCGGAUCCGUAUUGACCUGCUGUGUCUCUGAACAUGUUGACAUUAUUCUGCUGGUGAACAGCUGUGAGUGUCCGUGGAGCUCCCACAGCAUGGUGCUGGGCUCUCUGCCACCGGCAGAGGCUGUAGCACUGAAAGAGGAACUGCCGGUUGAACUGAGGCACUGAAGCAGUAGCAGAAGUAUUGGACGUGAGUUCUGACAAAACUUGAGCAUGCAGCUGGCUUUCAGUCGGGGUCCCUGGUUCAGAAGCUGGCCUCUAGCUGCCCAUGGGGCUUCAAAAUUAAGGAGAUUCAAAUUAGCUAAAUUGGACACUCUUCCAAUUUCUUAGUGAGCAAAGAAUGAGAAUCAUAUGGAAAUUCUCCCAGUGCUUGUGAAUCACUUUCUUCUGCUUAGAUACUUUACUUUUCUAUGUCAGAUGCAGUUUCCUCUAAGCCAUUUUUAUCAACCAGUAACUUUUGAAAUAGGGAAAAAUGUCAUCGAUGCCUGAGGAAAGCUGCGAGAUGCUACUUUGUCCUCACACAUCUUUGUUCUGACUGGAUGAAAGAUUUCAUUCAGGUCUGUGACACUUCUAUCGCAUUCAAGAAAAUCUACACUAUAUUUGUUAUCAGUAUUUCUCUAUGGAAUAACUGCUUAAGCAAAUUACUUAGAUUAUUGCUGGUGUUAUAUUGACACACAAAGGCAACAUCCAUCAGUUGCCUGCAUUUAGUAAUUGAACAGUAAGUGGAGGCAUGCAUGCAAUGAAAACUCUUACAAGAGUAAUACUGCACCUUAUUGCCAAUAACAAGUCUGACUUGCUUAGAGACAAACAUUUUGUUCUGCAUUUCUUACUCAUUAAAAAAGAGAGUGAGAGAGAGAGAGAGGGAGAGAAUGACAACAGUUUCUUGCAAUGUUUACCCCAAGGGCACAUUCGGUUAACAGGUAUAAUCACUGUUAUAUUACUGAUGAUUAAUCAGAAUUCUUCUUGAUGAAUCACAGUAUCAUCAAUGACUGGAUUUUACCAAAAGUUAAGCAAAAAAAAAAAAAAAAUCACAAUUCCUUGAAAUUCUAGUGAAGUUCUAAUUUCCAAUACAAAAAUAAAUCACCUUUUGUUGCAACUUUAUAACUGUUAGAUUCUUCACUUUAGCAAUACAUUAGUGUAUAUGGUACUGAAAUAGCGAUUCCACCUCUGUCAACAUCAUUUUGAAGUCAUCUCUGACAAGGAAAACCUACCUCUGGAGAGUAGUGAGGACUCUAUCCUGCUGCAGUUGAAGCUGAAAUUCCUGUUGAUUUUGGUAGUAUUUGGAUCAGCCACUGUUGAAAAUGUUGGUGCUCCAAAUAAGGCAGACGCAGCAGAUACUGCAGGUGAGCAGUGGAUCCAGAUCCCAUUUGAUGUGGGCUCUGGUGGCCGAGCACUUCUCACAGUGUUUACAUGCAUGAAAGACCGACAAAGGAAAAUUGGAUGAAUCCACACAGUCAAUACUGCUAGUAUUAAAAGGUUUAUUUAUUUAUAAGAAUAUUAUGUUUUUAAACAAGAUCUCCAGUAUCUCCAAGUAUGGCUUUAUCUGUUCCUUGCCUUGUUUCCUCUUUUUGUUUCUCCAAUGUUUACAGUUUCUUUUUCCUUUAAGAAAUUAUGGAGAACAAUGUACAGAGAAGCCUGUAUCAUUUUAGUCUUCGGAUGUUUUAUGUCUUUCCUACAGUAUCCCAUGGAUACUGAAGUACAGAAUCAUGUUCCGUAUUCAUGUCUCCGUUGUACGGUGGUUUUCCAAAAGAAAUGUUCACAGCGCUGCAGCUGACAGAGAGCUGAAUAAAUAAUAAUGAAUAAAACAAUGUGUGCAGUGUUUGUUUUGCAAACUGUUGCAUCACAUUUUGUCAGCAUUUUAAAAAUACCUUUUGCAGCAUCUUCAUGCCUUACUCAGUUUCAAGGUGAUAGCUUUUUCAUGCAAAUCUUGCAAAACAUAGAAUAUUUCAUAUUUCUUUACUGUCUUCCUUGUUUUUAACACAGAAAUAUAUUUCAACACCAGUGCUUGAUUUUUAUUUAUUUUUUUAAUUUUAACGUACUUACAGUUCUGUUGUUUGUACCAUGCCUUUGGUUGAGGGCAAAUCUGGGGCUGGAGAGGUUUUUUUUCCUCAUCCUAUGGUUUUCAGAUCAAAUGUGGCCAAGGUAUAACACUUCAUAAAUCAUAAUUUUCUUUCUUUGACCUAUGUUACUCUCACUGUCAUGUUCACAGAAGGAACAGCAGUUACACAGCUGCUGAAACAUCAACGCUGUGCAGCACACUGGGAACAAAAGUGCAGUCAGCAUUGGGCUGUGUGUGAAGUUCGGGUCCAAGGCUGGGCCUCAACACACUGGAGAUCUCAAACAGGAUAUUUUUUGUACACUGGUCCAGCUGUGUGUUGGAUUUAAAGCAUCUUCACUGCUUCUGCAGUGCCUGCUUCUGAAAUGGACAGGGGAGCUCAACUCUCUUUGCAGAGAGUAUCCAACAUAUAUAUGAUAGAGAGCUUAGGCUCUGAGCACUGUGUUUGGGCUAGAGCUUUCAUUUUAGGAAUGUCCCGGGGCUCAGCCUGACCUCAUGAUGCACACAACGAGGAUCCAUGGGAGCCAGUAUCCAAUGACUUGCUUUGUGCGGUGCAGCUAAAGGUGCACAACCAGCAGUCAUGUUGCCAGGGAGCGAGCUGCCAGAUGUUGUGGGAAUCCAUGUGAUAUCAAGGAAUCUGCCUUGCACUCAACUUCAGAAAAGGAGUGUGGGUGACAAUGGCAGUAAGAAAUAAGGACGGAAUGAUGCUUCUCAAGGAAGUACUUAAGAAAAUAAACAGAAAAAAGGAAUAUUUUGACCCAUUGUUUCUACUUGUCCGGCCUGUAGAGAUUCCUGCACAACAGUGAAAUUUUCAGAGGGGUCGUUUUAAUGAAAUUAAAACAAAUGCACAGAAUUUCACUUAAUUUCAGGCUAAUUUUAUAUGCUUCUGGUUGAGAAACCAGUAGUCAUGACGAAUCGCUCUGUUCUCACUCAUGUCUGUGGGAUAUCAAUGCAGAAUCUGACUGCUUCCAAGUGACUAAGUAUACUGUUUUAGCUUUGCCCCAGCAGCCAGAUUCUCUAUUGGCAUCCUGCUGAUAUUUCUUAUAAUACGUGGAUUGAGUCAUGCCAAGCAUCUGGGGGGAAAAAGCUGUUUUGUCAUUCACUUUAAGAACCUCCGUACAAUCAAGCAACUGCUAAUAUCGAAGUCAUUGACCCUCUGCAUUUGUAGACAUCUCUCUUGAGAAAUGAAAUUGAUUUUCUUUAUCUCAGCACAUAAAUAUCCCCAGCACACACCUUGACCCAUUGUUUGCAAUGUCUCUCACACUACAAAAUGUAAUGCUAAUAGAUUUUAAAAAGUCAACAGUAGCAGCAAUAGUAGCAUUUUUAUUGUGGGCUGUACUUGGCCAUAUCUUAACUUGUUUCUGUAUGAAACCUUUAUAGGGAAGGCUUUGUCAUGGUAUUUAAUUGAAAUACACGUAAACACUGAAAUUUUCUUUCUUUCUUUUUUUUUUUUUUUUUUUUUUCCCCAAGGUACAUAAUGUAGUUAAAAUAGAGUUUAUAAAGCAUUCUGCUGUGCAGAACUAGUUAGGUCCUAUAAACACUAGUCCUCAUUUGGACAGUUUGGGUUGCUCAUGUAUUGGAUUCUGACCAGUUUCUGACCUGAUACAAAGGUGGGGGAUCUCACACACAUGCACAAAAAAGUAAAUCUUAUUAACCUUUCAGGUCUUGGAGUCUGACCUUUACUAGAGCCACACAUCACAGAGAGACCUUGCAUUAAAACAGGAAUGCCAGAAUAAAUCUAAUAACGAUAAAGAGAAUUUGAGUUCCUAGACAUUAAUAUGAAAUGCAAAUAAUCACAGAAACAUCUUUUGUAUUGGAGAUGAGUGGUGCCUCAAAAUCUCUGACCUAACUGAAGUGUAUCUCAGUCCUUUUGUUUUCACCAAUAGUAUAAUUUAUUUGUUUCUGAGAAGAAAUCAACCUUUAAUUGCUUUCUUUAGCAACAUCUAGUAAACAGGCUGAUAGCAUGGAGAUGAUCUCUGCAAACAGCAAAGAAGAAUUUCUUCAACUCAUGUUGCCAUGACAAUUUAGAUUUUGCCUGUCAACUCUUGAGAAGCUCCGAAGUCCUUUCUUUAAAUCAGUAAUUCAGGGAAUAUUUUGGAAAAGCAAGUUGCUUUUUUUUUCAUUUUUAGUAUCAUUUAGCCCAGCAAAGGGCCUGCCUGAUCCAGUGGAUUUUAAGAUCUACAAACAGGAACUAGUCUAAGAAAUAUAAUAUUUUGAAAUCGCCUCCGUGGAUCUCAGUUGAUUUACAUCAGCAGAGAAGCUGGCUUCAGACACGUUAUCAAGUGAUUUAGAUCUCAUUUAUUAGAGAUGUGAUAAUAUGAAAUUGUCAUCAUAGAAACAAUAACAGAUAAUGAAGAGUGGAUAGGCCAGCUUAUAAUUGUCAUUUUGAUCUUUGUGACAAUGCAUUGUCUUGCAGCUAUUUUGAGGAAAUUAGAUUAGAGAGGGAUUAUAGGACAAAGAAGGACUAAUCAUUUUAUUUCUUUUACAGUUCCAAUUAUAACAUUAGUUCAGUGAAUGAGGAAUGUAAUCAAAAGACUGUUGUCCAUAUACUUGAAUUACUAUUUAAGAUACUUCCCAUAUAAAAUAUGUUGCUAUUAAACAAACUGAACUUCCCCCUUUUAUUAUUUUUAUGUUUAUCUAAUAUUAAAUUAAUUGUUUUGAAAAUAUAUAAAACUGGUCCAAGUUACUUUAAUUUACUUCUUAUGGAAGUAAUUUAUUGACUUAAUGAGGUAUUUCAUUGGUUGCUGUUAUCAAUGAGGGAAACAUGGUAAAAGAAAUGGAGAUAAAGUGAAAUGCUGCUUCCACUGGGUAAAUAAGUUUAUCUCUAGUGAAGACGAGAAAAGUAGCUCAAUAGUAGUUUUUUUUUAAGAUGUUCCUGGCAGAUGAUGGCAACUGAGUUGGUGUAGUUUGUUUACUUCUUUUCCAAUGGAUUUGAGAUGAGUCAUAUAACAUUACAAGGAAAAUUGAGAAGUUGUGUCAAAGUAAAUUCAGUUUUCCUCCUUUUUUUUUUCUUUUUUUUUUUUUUUAAUAUAUAACCUAAUCAUUAGUUUUUAUUAAACUGAGACACCUAACUGCUUGUUUUAGGGUUGGUUCUCAUUUCGUCCAUAAAUCCAAGUUUCUGUUACUAGAAAUUGCAUAUUCAGAUCUUUAAUUUCUGUCUGCCAGAGAGUGGGACAAAGUUAUAGCCUCCUUUCAGAUAGCUUCAUGCGUCUUUUUUGAAGUAGCAACCAGUUCAUUGCCAAGCUACUUACAGAAUCGUAGAGAAUCAUAGAAUCAUAGAAUGGCCUGGGUUGAAAAGAACCACAAUAACCAUCUAUUCUCAACCCCCCUUCCAUAUGCAGGGUGGCCAACCUGCCCAGAGCCACAUCCAGCCUGGCCUUGAAUGCCUCCAGGGAUGGGGCAUCCACAACCUCCUUGGGCAACCUGUUCCACUGUGUCACCACCCUCUGUGUGAAAAAAUUCCUCCUAAUAUCUAACCUAAACCUCCCUGUCUUAGUUUAAAACUAUUCCCCCUUGUCUUAUUGGACUACUUUGGAGCACAAUAAUUCAACUUCUACGAGCUGUUUUUAAACUGCUACGGGCUGUUUUUUGCAAGUCUUUUUAUCACAUUCCUUCAGAAUGGGAGUUGACUGAGUAUGGACUCUAUAGGGUGGGACCUCAAUGCUUCGUGUAGCAGAGAAAUCUUUAUUUCUGUUUUACUUCAUAACUGUCUUUAUCACUGCACUUUACUGAUAAUGCAGUGUAUCCACAGUGUUAAGGUAAAGUGGUACUUACCUAUAUGAAUUUUUGAUAAAAAACCAGACUUCUGGAUGGCAUACACUUAUGAUACAUCUCAUCAUACCCAUUCCACAUGAAAAACAACACUUUUUUUCUGAUAUAUCUGAUGGAAGAAGAUAUCCAUUUGUUGAAUAAAAGAACAUGUAUGUACCUAACCAUUAAAGCACCUGUCUGAAUUCAUUUUACUUCAAAACCAAAUUUCAGUUUAAGUUCAAGAAAUCUAUAAAGGGAGCAGAAGAUAGUGUUUAUUGUCAAGAGUCUAGAUUUGCAGAUACCUUUAUUUUUACUUUAUUUUCAGGAGUGCUGAGUACCUGCAGUUCCCACUGUUUUAAGAGAAGACUGCAGCUCUCGGCACUUUUGUACUUAGUUUUACACUCAGAAUCACCAUAAUCUGAAGGUAAAAUGGUGCCAUAAAAAGAAUGGAUUUACAACAGUGUACAGCAUUAACUUCUGUUAUAUUCUGGGUAGUAUCUAAAUUAAGUGAAGAUUCUCAGUAAUAAUUCCCUAGAAUUGUAUUAUUUUUUUUAGCAAUGAGAAUUUCUCAAGGGAAGUUGUGGUUUGUUUUUCUUUAAAGCUGUUGUACUUAAGCAGUUCUGUGUCUACAAAAACCCUGGAUCUGAUGUACCCAGGAACAAAAUGUUUGUGAUUGCAGAACAAAUGUUAAAAGCAGCAGCAAAUAAAAAUUUGGAGUGAAGCCAACUCAUAGACUAUUGGCUGUAUUGGUUAAUGGAGGUUGUUGUCUUGGCCCCAAAUUAAAACCAAUCAGUUCCACCUCCACUUUAUUGCCUAUGCAAGUAUUCAUCAUUUUAUACACUCAUCCCAAAUUGAUGGUAACUAAUUGCAGUUCUUUGGGAUUCCAUUUGUCUUGCUAAGAAGCAGGCGGUUCAUAAGGGAUGAUGCAGAACUUUACAGCUGUGGUGGAAAAAGGCCUCCCCUGUUUCAGCACAUUAGGAUAGGCACCAAGCUCCAUUUGGUAUUUUUGUGCAUCUUUCUGCAGAUCAUAUUUGCAGUAUGGAUUGCUCUGUGCAAAUGUUUUGAAUGUACUUUGUCACACAGCGUUGGUAUAUACAGCUUUGUAAAGCAGAAGCAUUUUGUGCAGCAGUCUCAACAGCAGUCUGCUUCUCAAAUGUACUCAGUGACACUGCUGUUGUCUAGGUACUUCCCAAAAAGAGUGAUGUCCAUAAGGAUCAUGUCCCCCAAGGGGAAAAAAUCAGUUCAAAAAGAAACUACUCUUUGACACUGGAAAAAUAUUGUACUGCCUACUGUGAAAAAAUAGGCUAUAGUGAUGACAGUGACUGUGUCAGGUGAAGGAUGGGCAUUCAGCACAGAGGACAGCAUGGGCAGCUGAUAGAAAUAAUUGUAUUUCAUUGACAUGCUCUCCAGUAGUACCACUAAGGAAGAUUAGGUAUCUCAAAAAAGAAGUUACAUGUGAAAAAGCAUGACGGCUUGUAAUGGGAAUUUCAGUCAGGAUUAUUAUUAUUAUUUUUAAUAAAUCCUUGCUCUCAUCAUUUGAUGUCCUCCAUUCAUCUGUUUUCUGAGAUAUCUGGUCUACUAUUAUAUUUAUUCUUUAAAUAAGUGUAUAUUAUACAGGACAUAGUCACAUAGUGUGAUUUAUUCCUUUCUUUUAUGAUAAAACCCAGCAUAUGAGGUCUCAUUCCAUGAAGUGCUGUAUGAAUGUGGAGGAAAAGAAAUGGACAGCAUUGUGAAAGCAAACUGAACUUGGGGGAAUGUUAUUUCCAGCAUGACCAGAUUCAAGCAAUAAGAUGUCUUCUGAAAUUUAGCCCACUGCAGCUUCAUGCUGGGCAGGUUGCUGAGCUGGUACAUAGGCUUUACACUGACAUGCUGAUAAUAAUGCUUUCAUCUCAUAGUGCUGGCAGAACUGGCACCAUCAGAUUCGCAACAUUAAAUACUAUUUGUCUUUUGUUUCCUCUUACUGUUUCCUCAACAUUUUCCUUCUGCAGACCUUAUCUUUCUUGUCACUCUAUAAUCUCCUCCUCUGCUGAAGGAAUGUAAGAUGCAGGAUUUGUUGUGCUCCGUAGUGGCUGUCUGACAUUCACAGAAAGAAAAGCAUCCAGGGUCUGAUCUGUGUUGACUUGUGCACUCUAGACAAUAUGUGCAGAGCCUGAACAAAGCCACAAGGCAUUCCUAAGUCCUCAAGAACUAAGUCACAGACAUAAACUGUGCCCAGAGUGUGUGCCAGUCCCAUGAAUUUGCUUAAAUUUCAGUCUUUAAAAGAAGUUAAGGGUUUUGUUUGUUUGUUUGUUGGUAAUGUUUCAGUCUUUAGGUUUCAGUAUUUAAAAAUGCAAAAAGCAACACAUUAAAUCAGAUAAGAAUAUUCUAUCACUGACAGUGGUGAUUAGCAAAUGCUUAGAAAAACAUGCAGGACAGAAGAUAUACAGACAAUCUUCUAUUGUAGCAGCCUCUGGUCAGUUUGGGGAAGUCUUAGCCAAAGGUUGCAUCUGUGUUCAACAUCCAUCAACAAAUUUAAACUUCACAAAACUCUUCUUGAAUCUAUUCAUAAUUCAGAAUACCACACUAUUUUCUGACAAUCUGCUUUACAAUUUAAUUCCUGCUGUGCAGAAAAGCACUGCAUUUUGCUUGUUUUGAAGCUUCUACCUCCUCAUUUCCUUGAGUGCUUCCAGCUAUUUGGAAGUGGUUCACCCCACUUAGAACUUUGGGUCUAAUGAAUAGGAAGGGGUGAUGUGGAUCUCUAAAUUAUAUAUUUUUUUCCCAACUACAUCUAAAAGUUCCACCUGGAUAUUGAUGUUUAGCUGACACCAAGUAACACUAAAGGUAUGAUUCCCAAAUGCAUUUCCCAUAAUUUUUAAUGGUAAUGAUUUUGUAGUCAGUGUUGCUGAUGCACUUAAAAGAAUAAUAGCCUGCAUUUCAGUACAAACAGCUGCCUUCCUUUAUCCUAACAUCUUAUUACCUAGAUUUAUUCUCAUCGAUGACAUUUUGAUUAUUUGCUUUCCAAUAGAUAGUAAAGGCAGUACACUAUGAUCGUCUAAAUAGCAAUGACAUUUAACACUUUUUGCUAUAUGAGAUAUUUCUGGAGUGGCAGAAGAGAAUAUGCUUAGUAAAUUAAGUCCUGAUAAGGACUUAUUACAGCAAACCAGCUGGUUGGUGAUCUGCUCUCCCACUGACUUUGACUUCCAUGGAGUGUAUUAGUAGCUCAUUGGCAAUACAAAAUACACUGUACAGAAACUUUAUCUUACAUAUGUACCAUAAUUCACCCUCUGUGAUAUGGCAGUCUACAUCGGUUGUAUCAGUAGUCACAAGUCAUACCUUGACAAUGUUUUCUUUCUGGUAAAAACUGGUGCAAGUUGAGACUAACUCUAGCGAUGGGAUCUGGUGAAAGAUUUGAUUUCUGAGGAAAUUUGGUAAUGCAGUGGAUGGACUGUCUCUGGAAAACAUUGCAAAAUCCCUGUUGGGAAAGUUUUGGGAAGAGGCUUAUUGUACUGACAUAUCUGAAAUAGUGUCAUUCUUCUAAGUUAACCACUUGUCCUCCUACCUUAAGAGCUAGAUUUAGAACAAAUCUCCAAAAUUAAAAAAUAACGCUGUAGAAUUUGCCCCCUAAUUAGAGGUUUGUCAUAAUCUUUAAAAAAAACCAAAAACAUGCAAGAUAUUCUUUGUUCUCCAAUUCUUAGGUUUCUGGUUUUAGUUUGUCACUGUCUGGAAGAGAAUUGUUUCUCUUGUUUACUAAGACUGAAGCCUUCCUACAAGCAUGUAAGCUGGCUCUGGAUCAUACAGAUUCUGCUUUCUCCCUUUAUUCUGAUUCCUCUUCCUCUAAGGAGUGUCUGUAGAAAAGCAGACAUUAUCAGUGUAAUAAAAUCAAACCAAAACAACAUAAAUAAAUGUGUUUUUAAAAAGUAUUUCAGUAACAUGAGGCAGAAGAAAAUAGAAUUCCAUUAAUGUUAGCAAAUCUCCCAUGACUGAUCUUGUUCUUUCUUUCUGAAAGACUCUAUUUCAUUUCCAUAAAAGAGAAAUUUCUGAAUAUUUCAUGAUAGAGUAUAUCCAUGAAAGGAAGACAUUAAUUCCUUCUGUCCAGUGCAAACAGAAACAUUUUUUUUUAGCUUUAAAGAGCUGAAAAGAACACAGAUUUUAGAGAGAUGACUGGAAAAGGAUGUAAUGUACCUGAUAUACUGCAGUCUAAAUUUCCAGUGAGACAAGGGAAAGUUUGAGGACCAUUUUCAUGGGAUAACAAAACUAUUUUAAAGCAAGGUGUUUUUUUUUUUUUUUUUUUCCCUGCUUGGUUAGAAGCAAACAUUUAUUAAAAUGUAAGAAUACCUUAAGAUUAUGAUAAAAAGCACAUCAAGUUUACAGAUAGAUGCUGUGUUUAAUUAGAAAGUAAUUGCUCAUUUUAUGUCACAGUAGUUUAACGAAGACUUAGGUCAAUUGUAAACAGCAGUGUAAUUGUUUCUGAGAUAAACUUGCCUCUUUUAUAAAUUACUCUCUUUACAGUAUGAAAAAGGGCCAUAUAAAAUACCUCAACCACUUUUAUUGAGGGAUCAAAUAUUCUGUGCAGUUGAUUUUGUGAGUUAGCACAAUAGUGUUUCUUCAGAGAAGAUUAUGUAAAGAGAUUUUGUUGAUAAACUAUAACGUUGCUUAUGUUGAUGGGUAGCUAAUCUUUCAAUAUCUGACUUUUCUUCGUAGGUGAGUAUACAAAUGUACACCUGGAAAUUUCAGAAAAUAAAUACCUGCUGAUUAUACUAAUGCAACAUAAUAUAACUUAUAAUUCAAGAGCUAGAUCUAAGAUGUGUCAAAACUCUUCAGUUCCUAAUUAAUUUCAUGGAUGUUGAGGAUACACAGAGCUAAAUAAACACAUGGAAGAAUUUAACCAUCAAGGUAUCUUAUUGUGAGGAUAUUUACAUCUAAUACUUAGAUUACUGAAUUACCACUCAACAGCUACGUUAACUCCAGAAGCACCCAGGAAAAAUUUUGUUGAGGCUAAAAUUGCAUACCUGAGCAUUCCCAGAAUGCUUGUGUCUUGUACAUUCGUGUGGUACUUUUAUUGAACAGUCAUUGGAAUCUCCAAUACAGCUGUUCCUCCAUACGGAUAAAACCUGUCAACUUGGACCUUGUAUGAGAUAUUCAUAGUGUGGAACUACUGUCCUUUUAUUUUCCCACAGCAGUGAGAGUAAUAUAACUGUUGGAGCACUUAUCUAGAUUGUGGAAAAUCUACAUUCAGCUUUCUCAUCCUUUUUUCAAGCAUCUACUGUAAUGCCCUGGGCUCUCCCCUGUUGGUUUUGUGAUGGUUUCCUGUAAGAGUUUCCUUUGGAGGUAGAAGAUUUGGGUUUCAAACCUUACUUAAAGGAAAAGGAGCUCAAUAGGAGCAUUAAAAAAGCUGCUGAAACAGUACCCGGCCCCCUGCUGGUUCCCUCUUCUACGGAGAGCGCUACUCAUCACAUCAGAGUUGUGCUCCCAGUUGGAUUUCUGUCUUGCUCAGUGAACAUUCAAUAAUUCUAUGAAAAAUGGAACUGUAAGCGGCCAACCCGGAAUGCUGCUCUGGAGUUCAUUUGCCAGAAAAUAUGUAAAAGGUAGGUGCUGCAAUAUCUAAUUGCAGCCCAUUUGAAGGAAUAACCAAAAGCUUUCAUGAUUGGGGCAUUAAGAAUCAUCAUGUUACACUCUUUGAAAAAAAGCUACAAAAUAUGACAUAAAUCUCACAAACAGAGAUAUGUAUUAUCAGUGUGAUUGACUUGCAGUUUGUAUUUAUCUAAGAUCUAAGGGUUUUUUUUUUACUUCUCUCACACAGUUGCAACACCAUUUGACUAAUGAAAUAUCUGCCACAUUUCCACUGACAUCAUCAGUGAUAUCAAAGAGUUUAGGAAAUUUAGGCCUAGGUAGAACACUCCCAUUUAUUUGUCUUAAGCUGUCCAGUUACCAUAGUAAUGAAUAUAGCAUAAAUACAUGUGUGUACUUGUGUCUGAGAGAGAGAUAAUUGCAGCCAUUUGAAUCUAUUGUGGAGGUAGUUCCAUAGUUAUCUUCCAUUAUUCUUCAAGUUUUGUCUGUUUUCCUAAUCAUGUAAAAAACACUUCCUGCAUAAAUGCAGGACUGACUGCAAGCUGCUGCCACACCGGAAGGUAUGUCUGAAAUACUUCAACCCAACCCAGUGAAGUGCUGCAGCUUAAGCCUGUGACCUUGAACUUCAACCAGGGAGUUCUGAUAUACAGGAGUGAUGUGCUGGCAGUGCAUUGCAUUGCUUAUCAGCUGCAACAUUUCAUGGGUUUUCACCUCAAGGCACAGGGAGUCACGGUAAUUGAAGCUGGAGGUCAUAGAUGUGUAAAUUUAUCACAAAGUCCAUUUCCCUUAGGAGACACACUGCAUUUUGGCUCUUUGUAAGUGAAGGAGUGCAUUUGGAACAGCUUUUGAUAGCUAUCCCCACUUGCUAAGGAUUAGGGCAGCCUGGAAAGCUCCUCCUCCAUAAUUUGCAAAGUGAACAAAGUAUUUUGAGUUUUACCACUCUCUACUGACAACUGUACCUUACUCUCUUUUACUGUGUGUGAUAAAACACACUCACACACAGAGAAUAAAGAACAGUGUGAAAGAAGUAUUUUUAGUAAUUUUCGCUUUCAAAUCUAAAUCUGGUUUUGAAAACAUAUUUUUAACAUCUAGUGAGGGACCAAGAGGGACUGAAAGGCUAUUUACUGACAAAUUAAGAACAUUCCUGUCUAGGAACAACUUCUGCCACUGAAUGAAAGUAAGAAAAUCUUCUGUCUUCAAAAAAGAUACAACAAUCCAAGAAACUCUAGAUGACUGGAUUUAAUAAAGGUUGUGGGAAAAAUUAAACUACCAUGAGGAAGUGUGAAAGAACAGCUUGAAAAUCAGUUUGAUUAAGGAUAACCAGCACAGAUACAGGCAGGAGAAGUCAUGCUUAACUAACCUGCUGGAGUUCUUUGAAGAUAUUGCUGCCAAUGCAGAUAAGGGGAAUUCAGUGGAUGCAGUCUACUCGUCAGCCUUUGACAAGGCACCACAUCUCAGAUUAAUGUCUAGGGUGAAUCAUCAUGAAGGCAAAGAAAUUGUUGGAUGGAAAACUAGUGAAAAUGUAGGCCACAAAGGGAAAGCCUGGACAGAGUUUGCAAGGAAUCAGUGUUAGGACCUCUGUUGUUCAUGGUUAUGUACUUGCAUCUGGAUGCAAGUGAUGGGGUGAGAAUUUGUAAUGAAACUUAUGGCUCAUGUGGGAACAAAAGAAAUGCAAAAAGCACAGAACAAUGUGCUCAUAUACAAAAGGUGUAUAUCACUGAUAUAAAUUUGCUAGCAGAAAAGGAAUGUUAGUAAAGUGCACAAGACUUAAGCUGGAAUGAUAAAACAAUGUUAGGAAAUACUCAUUAAAUAAAACAAUCAUAUGUUGAACAAGAAAAAAAUUGGGAAUUAUUGAGGAAAUAAAUUGAAGCCAUCAGCCCAGGUCAAAGCAAUAUUUUAAAAGGUCAAAAAGAUUCAAAGAUGCUUUAGAAGACAGAAAGAAUAUCAAAGAAAACAAAGAAUGAAAGAAUGGUGUUAGCUUACACAAAGCCAUAGUAAAAGUGUCUACAGGACAUGGGCUACAAUAUUGCUAAUAGUUGUUCAGGGAAAUAAUAUUUCCUUCUUGGGAUUCAUUUUAAGGAAACAAAGGAUAUAAGGUUUCAACAAAUGAACCGUGAAGAAUACUAAAGAACUUUGGGUUGUUUUACUGUAAACUAGGUAAAUAUAUGACAUUUUUGUUGUAGUAGGACCCAGAGAUUCAAGUCAGAAUUAAGGUCCUAUUGUGUUUAUGCAUGCAAAUGGAAGACAGAACUUUCUUGUGCCAAGAAGCUUAUAAUAAAACAGUUAAUUAUAUAGGCAAGGGAAAAAAAACAAACAAACAAAAAAAAAAACAACAACACAUAAAAGACAGUAAUUUAUCCAAAUAAGAUUUAUGCCUGGAUUGUGAUCUGGGGUUCUCAUUUUUUGAGUCUCAAAUCAAUAUUUUAUGUAAUGAGUUGCAUUAUUCUUUUAUAGGUAUAAGGGUUAUUUUUAAUAUGGGGUAGGAAACCUAGGUGAAUAUCUUUAUAUAUGUGUUUUAUGUACACAUACACAUAAAGCAGAAAUAGGAAAUACUUACACUGUAUUUGUACGGGUUUUAACCUAGUCACUGAUUAUUCCACAGACCUCUACUUGAAUCUGGUGAAAGUUAGAAUAAAUUCUAAAGGGAUCUUUGUAUUAGUUCCAAAAUAUCUGCACUCCAGAGUAAGAAAUAAAUACAUUUUUUAAAAGGAAAUAAAUAAUAUGUAUAAGUAAACACAACAAUCAUUUGCUUUUGUGGGAGAAAAGUGAGAUAAACAAGAUGAAGUAUAAUUGACUGAAUGGCUAUUUGUUAAUUAAGAAAAAGUUCAUUUCUUCCUGACUUUCUUAUGCUUUGAGGUCUGCGAGGAAAGAAAAAUUUUCUCAGAAGAUGAGUAUUUUCCCCUAGUUAUGGAAGGAUUCUUUGCUUUAUGACUCAGAGCUUUGAAGUUAAUAUAUUCAAUCUUUUCUUUAAAAAUGCAUUCAUUCCUUUAGCUAGAACACUGUCCAGAAAGUGACUUUGCAGCUAAAACACCAGAAGACCAUGGUGUCUAACUUCCAAAUAUCUGCUCCCCAAAUUUUAAACCAGAAGUCUGUGUAAAACUUUACUUCUUGUGUGGAUACACCUAGACACCUUGAAAUAGAAUCUUAAAUAGGCAUGAUCAAGGAGUGUAGAGCAGCAGAUCUGAUUACUACAAACCCCCUUCCUUCUCUCAGAGAGAAGAGUUCCACUCAGUCUUGUGAAAAGGAAAUCUUUAUUUCCUCCUAGUUUCCACAACCCAUCUUACAUGCAAUUCUAUUCUAUUGCUAAACCAAAAGACAAGCCAUUCUUUAAUUUUAAAAAAUAAUAUGAUAUUUGGAAUAUAACGAUAUCCCUCUUCCACACGUUUCAGUGCAGUACAGCUAUGUCUAUGGCCCUCACUUUGCCACAAUACCUGCAUCUCUCAUUAAAGUUUUGUGCAUAAUGAAAAAGGGCUGCCUCUGGUAGCACUUCUUUAUCAGCCAAAACAAAGACAGACAAUGUUCAUAGACUCAUAUAAUCAUACAGUGGUUAGAAUGGUUAGAAGGGUCUAAAGACCAUGCAGUUCCAACUGCCCUGACGUGGGCAGGAUUGCCAUCAAUUGCUUCAGGCUGUUCAGGGCCCCAUCCAACCUGGUCUUGAACACCUCCAGGGACAGGGCUUCCACAGCUCCUCUGGGCAGCCUAUGCCAGUGCCUUUUGACUCUCUUGAGUAAAUCAUUUCUACUUUUAGUAAUGAAUACCUUGCAAAGCUUACAUACGAUUAAUAUGCCUUUGCAACAGAGAGCAUGAAGAACUUAGUUUUGGAUCUGGUGCUCAGGGACAUGAUUUAGCGGCGGUGUCGUGGUUUUGUAAUUUUGUUUUCGGUAUUCCACAUCAUAACAUCAUGUAAAGCAGUGGGAGUUAAAUAGUUAAUGUUCUGGUUCCAUGGACUGUCGUUUCCUGGUGGACUGCUGUUUCCUGUUGCUUGGUUCUCAAAGGGGGACGGGAGGAGCAGGAUUCCCCAGAGGACUUUGCACCCGCAGGGAGAAGGUGGAGCUCUCAUAAAACACUCCUGGUCUUCCUGUCCGAACAAGUCCCACUCUAACUUUGCAAUGGUAGCCUGAGUGAAUGAAAAGAUUCUUUUCCAAAGUGGCCUCAGUUUGGUGACAGUUCUGAAUCAGUUCAUCUACUGUUGGAUUUGCAGUCACUGUUGAUGUAUAUACAGUGCACAAGGGGAAAUGCAGGCUGAAGGGAGAGCAUCUAUGGGAACUUAGGUCAAGGAGACAUUCUCCUCUCACAUCAGUCCUGAUCCAGCCAGAUAGAGGGCACACAAUCUUCCAUUAGGGCUUGUUGUACUUAGAUGAAAACAAGUCAAGACUGGUAUGGAGGAGUCAGGAAGGAACAACAGUAUCCUAGUGAUCAAGUGGAGUUUCCUGGAAAGUUUUAGGCUCUAAAACAUCUGUUGUGAUUUAACUCCAUCAGGGAACUGUGUACCACACAGCCUCCCACUCACUCAUCCCCAGUGGUGUGAAGGAGAGCACUGAAAAGGUAAAAUUGUGAGGAUUCAUGGGUUGAGAUACGGACAAUUUAGUAAAGGAAAAGCCAUGCAUGUAAGCAGAGCGAAACAAGGAAUUCAUUUACUGCUUCUCAUUUGCCAGCAGAUGUUCUGCCAUUUCCUGGGAAGAAUGGCUCAUCACACAUGAUGGUUUCAUGUGGAGACAAAUGUUCUCUCUCUGAAUAUUGCCCUCUUCUUCCUUCAUUUCUCCAGCUUUUGUUGCUGAGCAUGAUGCUAUAUGGUAUGGGGUACCUCUUUAGCCAGUUUAGAUUAGCUGUCCUGGUUCUGUCCUCUCCCAGCUCCUUGCUGGCAGGGCAGUAUGAGAAGCAGAAAAUCUUUGUCUCUGUGUAAAGCCCUGCUCAACAGCAACUAAAUAGUAGGUACAUUAUCAACACUGUUUUCAUCAAAAUUCCAGAACACAGCAUCAUACAAGCAUCUACAAAGAAAACUAGAUUGAUCUGAACCAAACCCUGAGCAUCUUAUAAAGAUGUUUUUACACUUUAUACGUGGAAGUCACUGGAAAAAAACACAAGCAACUUAGAGUAUAUGUGUUUCCAAGAUGAGACAGAAAUAGCUUUUAGGGUAGUGAUUUGGAGAUUUCUGUUGCGGUUAAGCCCUACCUCUUCUGAAUGACUUCCUAGUGGGCUCACAUUUACAGGUAGUGAAAGAUCUAACCUUGCAGCUAGGAACAAGCCGGCUCAGGGUGCAACGCAAGGCCCCACUGUCCCCCCAGAGGCAGUGCUGCCAGCCACAGCCGCACAGCGCACUGAGGCCAGCAGCUGGGGAGGAUACUGGUAGGGAUGCUGGUGGGGAGAAAACCAGCAGCCCCUCGCCUAGCUCCUUCCUCCAGCCAGACCCUCCAGCCGCCCUUCUCAUUCUGCUUCUUUUCCUUCACCAUUCAAAUGUCCUAUAGCAAGUGUCAGAAUAACUUAGGAGAAAACAUGUAGACUAAAAUUAUAUUUUUGUUGAACUGCUGGCUCUAUUCUUCCUUCUCUGUUACGAGACACAGAGUUAGAGGGGGGUCUGCAGGUGUGAUUUCUGUCAAAGUUAAGGGCCUGAUUCUUACUAGCCCACUUUGAUUUUAUUUUCUCUAUAAACACAGCAGGAGUUUUUGAAGUUAUUUUUCUCAGGCAUUAAGAAGUGCAUUGUACAUUUUCUGAUUAGAUAAUGAGUAGUCUUUUUUCUGAACCAGAAAGGAUUCCAGGUUAACAUUUUGCAGAGCAGUUUUUAUGAAACAUUGACAGCAAAAGCUGUUUUUUGAAAAGAAGAAAAUGAAAAGAUUUACUUGAUACAGGCUGUUAUAACUGAGUAAAGAAGAGGCACACUAUUUUCUAUUUAGCAUUUCUUUCUCUGUGUAUUUACACUGUUAACACUGAAGUCAAGCAAAAAAAUGUUUCUUCUUCAUAAGUGUGUUGAGAAUAUCACCUGUGGUAGACAGCUUAUUAAUCACAUGCUACUUAAAACACAGAAGUUUAGAGAUCUGCCUUAGCUAUUUAUACAAAAACAGGCAAACAGUUUUUAGGUCAUGCUCCCAAACCAUACUUACUUAAAAAAGAAAGGUGGUAAAUUGUUUACCCUGGAAGGACAGCAUAAAUUUUAAAUCAGAUUUCGAGUGAAGAAAUAUAUUGUUUCUGUGGCAGUGUUGGGUUUUCCUCUUAAAAUACUUACAGAAAAAAAGUAGCUUAAAAAAGUUUCAGAUCCUACUAUUAAUGCACUUUAUUUGACCGAGUUAUAAAGUUUUAAUAGUUGAUAAGCACAAAGAUAAUAUCACAAAUUUGUACAGUGUCCAGAAGGUAAUAGAAUCUGACAGGAGUAGAGCAUGUUGAAGUUCCCAUAAUUUUCCGAACAUUGUGGAUCACUGACAAGUGUUUGCUGUGUGUUUUGCAUGGCCCACUCCACAUAGGAAGUUUGAUUGUAGAAAUGACUUGAAUUAUUUCCAAAUUGUCUCAGCAGUUUGUAUUUAGUUUAACAGUGAAAAUAAAUAAAUAAAUAAAACCCCACAUUAAAAACCCACAAAUAACCUAAAUGCCUGAGGUGGAGCUGUUGUUUGCUUUCAGAGAUUACUACUAUGACCCUAUCUAUUUUCUGUGAUGGAUUUUAUUAGGAUAUCAGAACUCCACUGCAUAUUUUUUGAUACACUAGGAUAGACAACCAACAAUCAGAGCACGCAUAAAGUGAAUUGCAGAGACACAGGAUAAAGUAUGAUUUUACAAGUGGUUAUUUUUUCAUACACAUUUAGAAUUUGAUCUACUGUAUAUCAAAGGGAAAACCUUUUGACUUCUCUCUGUAAAGAAUCACAAGUGUCCUGUUGAGCUCAGUGGACAGCAGAGUAAAGGUAGGAUUUAAUGAUUAUAAAAUGUUAAUCCAUCUGGGUGAUUUAGGAUUCAGAAUCUUAUUUUCAAAGUGACAUUUAGAGAAAGACUUGCUAAAGGAUUCAGGUGCUACAGUGACUAGAAUCAAAACCAUCUCUCUAGGCACCAGACAUCCUAUGCUUCUAUAGGGAGUGUUAGAUGCCUAAGAGCAAAAUCCCGAACAGCAGAAGGCCGAAUGAGAAGUAUCUGAGGGACAGCAGUCAGAUAAUAUUUUAGUCCCUUAGAAUGUCAAAGAAUCAUACAUCCUUUAUUACAAGUCAGUUGUAGAAACCUCUCCUAAAUCAGGGUGCCUGGAUGUUUUCUUUACAGAAAAUGAUUCAAAGCCACUUUUUAAAGAAUGGUGCCAGAGAAGAGGGAAUAGCGGUAUGGUCUUUAUAUGUUGUCUAGUUGCAGCUAACUCCAAAUGUCUUUUCUUUUUGCCACAAAUAGGAGAUCUGUAUCUAUAUUAUUCACCUAGAAGUUGUUCUAACAACUCUUAAACUGGGGCAUACAGGUUGUAUUUCUUGCUGAAACAUUUCUACUGUGCAGAAAAGUAAUCAGGAGACACUGGGUCAGUGAUGUACGUCUAGAGGUGGGAAGUUAGGUUGUGGUUGGACUCGAUGAUCUUUAAGGUCUUUUCCAACCUGAGUGAUUCUAUGAUUCUAUGAUUAAAUGAGUAUCAUAAAUUAACAAUAGCCUGCUGGAUAUAUAUCAUCUGCAUUAUCUGAGUUUUGAGUGUGAGCAUUCUAGGAAUUAUCUUUAGAUUUGUAAUAUAAAAUUUCUAGUUGAUAAGUUUGCAAUAUGGUUUUGCAAUGUGAAUAGUCACAGCACACAAAGAAACAGCACUCCAGCUAAGCUGACAUGACCAAAUACCAGUAGUUCAUCCCAGAUAUGAAGUCAUAAAUCAAUACAGAUCAGUUUCUCUAAGACUCACUGAGAGUACACAUAGCAUAGUGAUAACCUGUCUGAUGUAGGAACAAUUUGUUAAGUUACUGUAACUUAAUCAAGUGUUCACUUGUCAGGUCACCCAAUUGAUCAGGACAAUGUACUUAUCCCCUUAUCUUCUCCUAAGUUCUAUCUGUAUUUAGUAACAUUAACUGAAGUAACAUAAUUAUAGCACAUGCUGUAAUUUUGAUUUUUGUAUUUGAUUUCUUUGCUGAAGAUGCUUAAAUGCAGAGAGGCAGAUUUUUGUAGGCACACUGUAGUAUUACAGGUUGCCUUAAUGAGGCCCAAUGGAAGCCCUACCAUGGUAGAUCACACUCCUAUAGCAAGACAUACAGUGGAGGGAAAAAAAAGCCUAAGAAGAAUGUUAGAUGUCAGCUUCUUAAGUACAAGUUAUUACGUGAUUUAAAUGGGAAUAUAGCUAAAGAUCUUUUCUCUAGUUGUUUUUUGUGUGUGUAUGUGUGUUUCUCCACAUUACGAUUCUUGGCACCAGUUAUUAUACUGCCUUAUACUGGAAAGAUGCAUUGUCACCACACUGAAUCCAGCUUCCUGUAGUAUAGUCUUUCUACUAUGAAGAAAAAUCAUUGAGGCUGUCUUCCCCAUUUCCUCUCUCCAGCCCAGGAAACAAUGGCCUUGAGGAGCGUGACUGUGAUCUGUGCUGUGAAGAUUGCACACUCACUGCUAAUUACUGUAUCUGUAAUUCCUGACUGUACUAGCCCUGCCAAGGAGUGAAUUACAGUCUUUUGAGUACAUUAAUAUCUAUAAGCUAGCCCUCCAGCUUGCAGAGCCAGUAGGAAUUGUAGAGAUAGUAACUCACCGAACACUCCUGUGAUGUGAACAGCUCUAUCUGAUUGUCUUGUAUUCAUUUGUGCUUCUCUGGUAUUAACCCUUCAAUCACUCUGACAAGUGCAUUUGAAUCGAGGGAGGGAGAUGAUUUUGACAGUUUCACAUAGUACAAUGAUGUAGAAAAUCUAGGACUGCCAGUGAGAAAAGCAGCAUGUAGUAAUGAUGCUCCAGGUUUAUAGUGUCUCUUAAAAGAAAUAAGAAAUGAUCAUGUCUUUUUUCAUUCAUUGUUCUGAAUACAUUAGCAGGUGGCUGAUGAUUUUUCUGCUCAUAUUAUACAUGCAAUAAAUGUUCCCCUAGCUGUUGUUAUCAUGCCCGAGUUAUGCUAGGUGGACUCUUUGGAAGGAGCUCUUCAAUUUAAGAAUGGCUUCAUUGUAAUUUUAUUUGAUAUUCUUUUUAGCAGCAUGUAAGAAAUUCAGUUAGUAUUCAUUGUAAUAGCACCAAUCAUAAAGAAUUCGUUUGCUAUUCAUAUGGAUGUCACAGGUCUUUCCACAGGACUUACACUAACUGCAAUUUUAGAAUCUUUUAAUGGAUACUUACACAAAGAUUGCUUUGGAAAAGAUCUACCACUUCCCAGCUGACUGAUUUAGCUUUGGCUGUUUAGAAGUAGUGCUAAAAAUAUUGUGUAGAGAGAUGUACACCAAUCUCUUUAACAAUAGUAGGUUUCAUUUUCACGAAAUUUUCUAGUAUUCUAGUGCUUCAAACCCUGUAUGUUUAGCAAUUGAUCAGCCAUGGAGCUGCAUGGAGCAGAGAUCCAUUUUCAGACAUAGUCGUCACGCUUUUGCAGAGACUCAACAGUUACAAAUAUUUUUGGCAUCACUUGCAGUGACAGAAAAGGAUACUUCCAAGAAAAUGUGAGACUAAAUUGUGCAAAGGGAGAAAAAAAGUUAUCUUUCUGACUAAUGGUGACUCAGAAUGCAUUAAAAUUGUGUAGAUUAAACACAUUUAUAAUCAGACUAUUAACAAAAAGAUUCACAACUGCAUUAAUAAGUCAUAUUUCAUUAUCCUAACACAAGAUACCUGGUAUGAGACAUUAAUAAAUGUAAUAAAGCCUUCUGCAUAUGCAUUAUGAACAGCAGUGCUUUUAAUAUUAAAAGUGAAUCCAUAUGGGUUAUUUGACAUGUAAAAUAUUAACUUUUAUAGCAGGAAUGCAAAUGAGAGUUUGGGCACUAAUUAUAUCUGCAGAUCCCACUCAGGAAUGAGGCUCUGUGUGACUAACGAUUUUGGCAAAAGGAAAGAAUGUCCUGCUUCUCUCAAGAGGCAACACAUCUCAGCUUCUGCUUCUUUCUCUGUAACCCUUUGAAAUCCUCACCUCACAUGAGUGCUUGUGCUGCUCCCAGGGCCUGGCUUCCGAAAAGAGCCCACCACCUCCGUGGCUUCAUAGCUGAUGUUGUAUGACUGCCUCUGGCGAAGAGGAAAGGUUAUUUCAUGUUUAUCCGGAACUAUGUAACUGUAGGAGGUACUCUAUAAAAGAUUAUUUUCACUGUCUGUUUCUAGCAUCUUAUUGCUACUUCUUCCAUUAAUGAGAUGAAAGUGUUGCGUUCCUGUAUAGAAUGACAUAAUUGCCCUAAGCACGUAUGCUAAGAAACUUAUGUUUCUUCCCUCAGUUUUUUUUUUUCACAUAAGAAAAGGUAGUUCUUUUUUCUUUCCUCUUUUCUUUCCUUUUCCAUUUUUAAUAAAUCUACUUUUUAUCCUCAUUAUUUGCUUUCCUUGUGCAACCCUCUGACAAAUGCCUAUCCGGCUGAGCUGACUGACGACUCCAAUCAGUGGGACUGAGCCUGUCGGUGUUAUUCCUGAAAUGGCCAGAGGGGUCACUGGAAAUCAAAAUGAAACAGACCUUUCUUGAGGAAGUAGCAUGCCCUUUUUAUUUUGACGGGUACCCACAAGAAACUUCCUACCUGAGCUACUUAGAUGGAUACUGCCAGACUGUACUCAGCUGAAAUAACCUCUCAUGUGUUGGGCUUCUUAAUUUUAUUAUUCUUUAUUGCAGGAAACUUUGAGAUAUUAUGCCUAAGAAAUAUGCUGCUAGAAACAGGAUGACAAAACAACCAAUGAAAAGUACCAUAGGUAUUUUAAACUAUCAUAUAAUUAUCUUUUAAUAAUAAGACACACAUACAAUUAAAACUUGAAGAUGAUUAAUAUUGUGACUUAUUGCCAAUCUCUAGCAGAAAGGAAGUAGUUUUAUUAAAAUUUAACAAAGGAAAUUUCAAUCUAAGCCUCUGUGAUCUAGUAACAAAUUCUCCAUGUUUUGGUACUGCUAGUUGAUGCCUCUGAAGUUAAAUCUUACACAAACAUCCAGAAUGGCAGGAUUACAGUUCCUAAAAGAGUGCAACUGUGGCUGCAAGUCAAAUUUCAAAGGAUGUUGUAUUUUCAUUGUUUCUGCUUGAUUACAUACAUGCAGGGGUGUGGCAUUAGUCUUCAGUAGCUACCUGAGGAACUGCUUCCAUCUUUCUGAGGGGUCCACUUCGCCUGCGAGGAUGAGACAAGAAAAAAUACAAAAUACGAUUUAAUUCAGUUGCUCUGCUAAAGAUCAGUAGUUUUUGAAACGUGAACUUUAUUUCAAAGAAGUACCUUACUGUACAUUAUUAGAAACACUCUUACGAUGUGUAAAACAAGUGGCAUGAGGAGUUCUUUAUAAGCAAAUUACUAAAUCACCUUCCAGGCUGUCUUAAUAAAUCUCUGCAAGGCUCAUUAGUGUAAUUUUCUAGACUUCAUCGAAGUGCCUCUACUACAGCUGCACAAAUACACGUGGCAAUUUCACUAACCAUAAUGGGCUUGGCAAACAACUGAAGUCUGACUGGGUGUAUACAAUUUGGCUUGAUAAUUAGAUUUUUUUGCUUCCAAUAUAAUUUUCCUAAUUUACCUCAUUUCUAUUUUAAUUGUUGCACUGAGCAGAUAAAAAAUAAGAAUAGGGAACUGAUUAUUUCAUUGAAAUAAAAUUUGGUACACCUAAAAAUUAAUUAGUUCAUUUCUAUGUUACCAAAGGUUGUGGCUGGUCCAUUUGUUGUAUCAUUUUUAUUGCUCUGAGGCUUACUAAUCCUGACUCCACUGAAAGAGGUGGUCAAACUCAUUCUCCUAGAAAUUUAGGAAUUUAGCCAGACUUUCGUUUCCCCCUUUACACAAAUAAUUAGUUUUUUAACAUAUUGCUAAGUGUAUGGCAGGUCUGACAGUAAUACUGAACAUUCCAUAUGCAAAUUUCAUAUUCAGUAAUAUCCAAAUAUUCAAAAUAACAAUAAUAUACUAUGAUACAGAAGUAAUACAGAAUGAUAUUAAAAGCUGAAAAGUAUUUUUAAAGUGGAUUAUGGGUUUAAACUCUGUGCAGCUUUUCCACUCUGUCAAGUUGAUGUAGACUCUAAGGCCAAGAUGUACAGAGUUUUUGAGUAUCUGUGUUUUGAGCUGCAUCACGUUAAGCUAUCUGAAGCACUGAGCAUUUUUAGUUAUUGCUCAGGACCUUCUGAUUGAUGAGGAUCUUCAAACUGUCUCAAGUUGUAAAUCCAAAAGAAGAGAUGCUUGGAAUCACUAAUUGAUGAAGUGCUUUUCUGGAAACAAUUCAGGGCAUUUGGGACACAUAAACGUGGCCUAAAGUGAGAUAAAAUAUUUUCUUAAAAUUCAGAUCCUAAAUAUGUAAAUUAAUUCAAACAUAAUUAGUACAAAUUCAGAGCUUAUCGUCUCUCAUGCCAUAUUGUUAUUAGGUGGCUAAGAAUAUAAAGGAAGUAUAUAAAGGAAGUAAAUUUCUAAUCUCUCUUUGAGAUUCAUUUGUUCAAUCAUUUGGAGGCAUCUUCCAUCUCCAGAUUGAGCUUGUUCUCUAGUAUCAGGGCAGCAAAUCUGCAUGUAUGAUUGCUUUGUCAAUAUGAGUUCAAUUCCUAGGGUCUAAGACUUGCAAACUGGUUUUUAACAUGCUGAUGAAAUAUCAUGCGAAUGUCCUAUGUCUGUGAAAGACUGAAGGAUGAAAAAGUUUGUCAUUUAAAUACAAACACACGUUUUAUUUAGUAUCUAUGUGAAUGUUGCUAUUUCUUUAUGAUUUACAAUAAUGCAUUUCUGUACAGCAGCAUUAGAAAAUUAAUAUUCAGGGUUUAAAUCAUAAUAUACAGGCUGGAGAUAUGUGGCAUUGUUUAAAAAAGGAGAAAAUGCAUUUUUUGCAAGUGCACUGAAACUAAAUCUUGUAAACAUGUAUAUUUUGAACUGUAGGCUUCUGUUGCUCCCUUUCAGUAGGUCAAGUAUUUUGAAACAUAACCCAGAGAAAUUUAACUUGGAGACCUACUUUUCAGGGGGAGACUUGUUUUAUGAACAAGCACAUCGGUUACUGUACAGUAGAGCCUGAUAGUGCCAGAAAACCUAUUUAUUUGCAUACAAAAGCACACACAGGCAGCACUGAACACAGCAGUAAGCAGAAACCUGUACAAAGCAACAGUAAUGAUCUUUCUGUAAAAAUUUUGCUUCAGAUCUCUGUUCAUUUCCUUUCAUGUUCCCUUUCUGCCAAGAGUGUUGUUGUUAGUUGUAGAUGCGUACAGAGACAUCAGUAAAUUAUUGGGCAGUGGAAUUCCUUCUGUUCUUUGGCCCUUUUUAAACAUCUUUCAGAAUCAUACGCACAGAUAUUUACUGACCAUGGUGUAGUGAAUCUUGGAGAUUGCUUCUUUCCUCACCUGCAGUCCCUAAAAGCUGUGACAGUCCCUUCCCUGGCUUUUCCCACUUGCUCUUGAUUGCAGCUCUACUUUUCGAUGGAGUUUGAGAUGAAGGUCUGUGCGUUUGUACUGCAGCUUUACUUUUGAUCUUCCUCUUCUUUCUCCCAGUGGUUACAUAUUCACAGGAAUGUUGUAAAUAUGCCUUCUCAUUUGUGGGUGGUAUCAGCAUGCCUAUGUAUUUCUGAUGGGGUAUUGUCAGAAUGCCAGAUCUUUGCCCAGCUGUGGGUUGAAUUGGCAAUUUCUUAGGAGCCUGGACGAUAUGAAUAAAAUGAAGUAUAUUACAGCUGUCCUCAUCUUAAUACGGAGGAUUAAUCAGCAAAGCUUGCAGCAGGUCUCAGCAUGUGAUAUCUCUGAUCAAGAUUGAGUAUCACAUGCUGAGAUGUGAGAUAGGCUGCAUCUUCUUAUUAGUAAUAAGCUUAGCUUCAAACUGAAUCAACGACUAUCUGAUCUUGCAUUUAUAGAAAGCAGAACCAGAAAUCGAGAGACAAGGAUACCAUUCUCCAUUCUGUCAUAAACUUCUUAUCUAUGAAGUCCUGUUGGGCAGCAUAUUCCUGUUCACUCAGUGAGUUUUGCAUUUCAAAUUUUAGGUGAGUUAUUUCAGAUUUUGAGGUAUGAGGCACCAUUUUAGCAGUAAAAUAGCAAACUCUGAAAACAAAGAUUAUCCAUAUCAGGCCAGACAUCUGGGAGUGGAAAUGUGGCCAUUUAAAACAAAGAUGUUAGCCUUAUUAAUCAGUUUCCUCAUCUACAAAACAAUUAAGAUUUGCUUAUGUGCUCUGCCAGAAUGUGGAUAAAAAGGGCUACUCUAUGUUUAUUUUACUUGUAUCAAUACUGAUGUGGAGGAUUUAUACCAAUUUAAAACUUCAAAAAUUUAAUACUAGUCUGAUAUCACAUUUUCAGUUCUUCUAUACUUACUUAUGUGUUCUGUUACAUGAGUCAGGUAGAUGACACAGGGAAAUACUCAACAACAGAUCAAAAUGCUGAUGCUGAUUGAGGUAGCUGUGCCCUACAGGUUAUCUCUGUUAAAAAUACAUUCCUUAGAGAUGUUUACUAGAGUAAUUUUUCUUCAUACCAGAAGAUCUAAACACACGGAAAAAAGUCAUGAGAUGUAAAGUGAUUAACUAUGGUUUUGACGGCCAAGUUCGUUGCCAAAGCAGAACAAUAGAAAAUAAUUUGAAGGUAUGUUAAGAAAGCACUAUCAACAAAUUAAGAAGUGCACGUAGACUAUAAAUAAAGGUUUAAUCUGUUCAAUUUUUUCUCAAAAACAGCAAAGGUUUUGACACUUCAACAGACGAAAAGGGCUGGAUAGCAAUAGGCAUUCAAAACUCCUCAAAAGAGAGCAGAAUUUUACUGUUUAUUUUUUCCUAGAAAUGAUACUUAGAACAAUGUAAUCUGGAAAUAUUUUGAAGUUCUUCUUCCACAGCUGUGUUAGUUGGAUGGCAUAGGACAGAUGGUACAGCACAGUCCAGCAUACAAGGAGCUUACUGCUUUCACGACUUUAGUAGGAAGGGCUUUGAAAAAUGGUAAUGAUGGUAUCAAAUCAGUGAGAUCUUGUAGAAUACGUAAACAAAAUGAGAGACUUGCUACUGCUGUCUAGGAAUCACAUUUGGGCUGCUGUGCCAGGGGACAGAGAAGGAAGGCGGAAGGAGAAAUCUUAGAUUACCCUGCACCUCCUUCAUUUGAGUUUUACACUGGGUAAACUAAUUACCUUGCCUAGCAUUUCUUUUCCUACUUCUCCUUAGGUGCUUAUGCAGAGAAAGGAACAGGUCUACUUCCAGUUUUUUUGCUGUCAAACUCAUGUCCAGAAACUGAAUAAUCACUUACCCGCUGGUUAACACACUGUUCUGCAGCAGUUAAAGGAAAGUGCUUAAAUACUGAAGUAAUUACUGAAAGGAACUAAAAGAAAAGGGUAAGUUAUCAAAUUGAUAAAGUAGUGCUAGCCCACUUAGCCAAAUAAGUUGUUAGACCUCUGAAAGACACGAUGCAUCAUGAGCAGGGGUAUUUAAAUUUAGGUUAGAUCUAAUUACUUUUUAAUUUCUAUUUACGUUUUAAUGAAGAUUGCACUUGAUGAGAUAAAUAGCAGAAAGAUUUCUGAAUAAAAAAUUCUGUGUGUUGAGGAUUAGAUGUUCAGGGGUUUGGAGUACCUGAAAUAAGUGUUUUAAGAAAUUUAUUAUGCAUUUGUCUACCUUGGGCCUUCCUUUUGAAUCUAGAAGAAAUCUGAAAAAUCCUAAUCUGUUUUCAUCCUCCUGGCUCUAAAUGCCUCCAGGAGGUUGUCCAGUGGGAUUUCUAGAAGUGCCAAAUGCAAGCAGCAGAAUUGAAAAUCAAUGGGAAAUAUGAACAGGCUUUAACAGUUCCAAAGGAAGAUACUGUGUUUAUGAAUAUUGUCAAUACUAUAUAAUAUUGCAUAAUUCAUGAAAAGAGUCUGAUCGCUUUUCAAAACUGCAAGAACUCUGAAUGUCUUUGUUGUUACCGUAAUUCCUUUAGUAGCACAACGGUUUUAUAGAAAAAUCCUUACGUGUUUUAAAUGCUGCAGAACUAAUUAAUAUAUGGCUAUGUACAUUAUGUUCCUGUACUUUGACUCUGGUCCUUGGUAUUCCCAUUUUACAGCAGUUCAGUAUGCAAACUUUAGGAACAUGUCUUGGUUGCACCUUCUUUUUCCUUUUACGGGUUUAUAACAAGAUGUUUGUUUUACAUUAACAAUUCUUGAAAAGCUCAUGGUAUCUUAAUCGUCCUUCAUAAUAAAAUAUUUUCUACUAUGGGCUGCUUCUUGAUCCAGUCAAAAUUAAUUCAAGUAUUGAACAUUCUUGCAGAAUAUUGGUGACACAAUGUCAGAUUCUCAGGCUUUAAACAGUGUUGGAGAUGAACUACAGCAAGCCAGACUUUGCAGCAUCACUGGGUCAAGAAGCAGAAAUUUGGUCAUUCUGUAGUCACUAUCUGGAAUAACAAAGUCAGUACAGGUCUUUACUGAAAAAUCCGGGUACCUCCAGUAUCAAUACACUCUGCUCUUAUUUUUAAGCUGUUACUGCUGUAACAUUCGGUAAUUCCCUGUCAGUGCCCACUCUCUCUGAGCAGAGUGAGAUUUCUUAUGGUUAAAAACCAAACCAAACCAAACCAGAAAUAAAAUCUUUCUAUACCAGUUCUUCAAACAUAGAUAAGCCAAUAAAAAGUAAACUGAAAUGUGAGAACUGAUCUGCUCCAUUAAUUCAUAAUAAAAAUAUAGCUUGAGACAUUAAACUUCAUUAAAAUUUAGCAAAAAGGGUUUGACAACAAGUCUGUCUCAGUAGUUGUAAGUAGUUAAUUGAAGUGUUUGAAUAAACGCUUCUUAAAUCUUACCAUGUUUAUAAAUUCUGAAACAUUAAAAUUAUCCUGUAUUCAAAUCUAACUUGUGGUUGUGCAAACUUAUAGUCUCCUAUCUAAACAGAACUACAGGUGGCUUCUGCAGUGACUCACCUGUAGAGCAGAAUUUUUGUAUUUUCUAGGAAGGUGGAAGGAUUAUAAAUGCAAUUAAUCAUCCUUUCCUUUUUAUUUUGCAUGGCUGACAUUCAGCCAGUCAGACUCAACAGCUAACUGAUGCUGUUGCGAUGCUUACUGACUUCCCAAAACAUAACCGAGGAUACAUAGCGAGUGACAAAAUUAACCUCCAAACAAAUCCUCCCAAAGAGGCAUUUUUUUUUCCCCAAAAGGAAUAUCGUCAGGAUCCACUUUAACACAUUUAUAAAUCACAUUGUUGGAUUAAUAUGAUGAUAAUCAAUGUUAAUGGCCAGUUGUUUGUUACAAAUGGGUUUUUUGCAUUAAAUUAAUUACUUUUCAUAUACUCCUAAUGUAAUCAGAAUGUAGACUAUGGCUCUAUGUUUGUUUGUUUGUUUUUUUAAAAUUCUGCAUAGUAUUUAUCGGUUAAUUAUACUAAUGAAGUGCUGUUGCUUUGUUUUGUUUCGUCUGGGUGUUUUGAGAAUGAACUGAUUACUGAGACUUGCUUUAUGUAUUUCAUCUCUGGUAUUGCAUAACACUGCUAAUGUGCUUUGCUUGUCAAUAGAUCUCCUCAUACUGCAUUUGCAGCAAUCGUGCAUUGUAGUUGCAAAGGUCUCUUCUUAUUUCAGUGAAAAUAGUGACUUUUCAAGGCACUUUAACUUACAGUGACGCCACACUUAUUUUUUGUAUCUUAGAGAGAGAGAAAAAACAAAAGCCUUCUUUAGCAUAAACAAAAAUAUACUUAUUAACUAGACUAGGUAAAAAUUAUAAUCCUUAUACUGGUCUGAUGGGCAGGCAGGCAUUCUAACGGUUGGUACACAUACAUGAGGCACUUGUCACCUUUUCUGGACUGCAGAUAGGUAACCCUGUUUACACAAACUUCUUACAUUAAUGUAAACAAUAAAUGUAUAUGCACAAGCUUACAAAAACUUUAUCAAAUCUAAUACUGAUAAAGUAUUUCAAGCUUAAUAACGUAGCAAGUUCUCAUUGGAGUAAUAUUGCUCUGGCUCAGCUGAGCUAAGCACAUCACUUUGGAAAGCUAUAUUCAGUUGCUUGUCGUCCUAGGAGACAUCUAAGUAGAUGACUUUGUAAACUUGAUCUAAUAAAAACAAAAGGUGUUCUAUAUCAGCCAAACGUAAAGUUUACCCAUCAGAAUCAAGGGAAAAAAAACAGAGUUACUGAAUGAAGAACUGACAGUCAGUAGUGUCUGUUGAUAGAUAGUCAAUAGAGACUUUGUGUGUCUGGCUCCAUUUUGUUAAUAUUUCUUUACAAAGACUGAGCGGGGAUUGCUCCUUUCUUUGUGGAGCUACUGAGCACAAUCAGGAAAAUAAACUUCUGUGAGAGAUGCAAGGGUGACUGCGUGAAGAUGGGAGACUGGAGCUGAAAGGAAAACUGAGAGAUGGUGGUGAGGGACAGAGAGCAAAACCCAGAUCUUAGAGAUGAUGAAAGAAAUUUCCUGCAACAAGAAACAAGUAGGCUUGGUCAGAUGGCAUUUGUAAGGUCACUGAGUUGAGAAGAACCAAGCUCAGAUGCCAGAACCCAUCUGCAAGGGAGCAGAGUAAUAAUGUUCAUAAAAUCCCUAUGUGGUUAUUCUACUUUCUCUAGUCUCUUUGAGUUUCCUCUGCUUAAAAACUCAGGAUUCUAGUUCAUGUUACAUUAAAAUUUGCCUUAUUUUUCGUUUAUAAGCCUUUUGAUCUUCUUCUAUAGGAAAAGGCUUAGUAGGACCUGCCGCAAAGCUUUUGCUUAUUUUGAAUCCCACUGCAUGCACUAGUCCAAAGACAAACGAGCCCCCACAUGGAGACCAUUGACUACAGCUAUGGGGUUGGUUGCUCAGGGACAAUGAAUUGGAGUAAGGAAGUCAUUUUCCCAAGUGAUACUGAUAAGGAACUUUACUGGAGUAAUAUGUAUAUGCAUUUUGGAUAUUCAUUUAAAAAGAUGACACAAAAUUGAUAAAAUGUUCUAAAUAAUCAUAACAAAAUUUCUCUGAGGACUUAAGGAAAUGCCCAAGUGACCUUUGCCUACAAAUGAAGUCUGUUUGAAAGUAAUGCCUCCUAUUUUAUUAUGCUGGCCCCUGAAAGCAGUAGAGGUUGAACUGUCCCUCCAAGAUUCUAUUCAAUUUUACUGCCAUGUGACAGAUGGCAGCAGAAGGGCAGUUUAGCAAAAUGGCAUCUGACAUGGAAGUGCAUGUGAGGCAAAGGUGUGUCACCGAAUUCCUCCAUGUGGAAAAAAUUACACCCUUUAUAGUUGUCGAUGCUUGCAGAACAUUGAAGGAGACCAAAUAGUUGGUGUUAGCACAGUAAGGUAGUGGGUGGUGCAUUUCAGCAACAGUAUUGUCGUAGCAGCUGUGAAACAGUGGGUCACCUCUGCUGGUGCAGAUCAUCACAUGUAUGGCAUGUAGGCUCUUGUUCAUCACUGCCAAAAAUGCACAGCUAAUGGUGGUGACUGUUGAAAAAUAGUGCCUUGUAGCUCAGAAUUUGCUCUAUCAAACAGCAAUAUUGUGCUCUUGACAUCUGUUGUAAUUUCCAUUGAAAUAAAUAGGGGGCAUUACUUUCAGAGCAACUUACAUAUUUUUGCAAAUAAUUAGUGGUGUAUUCUACAGUAUCAUAUGCUAUGCUAAAUGGAUCUUCAUUUUGAAACAGAAAAGCAUAAUGAGAACCAAUGUCUGAAAGCUGAAGCAAAGAAAAAAGCUAGGGCUACAUUUUUACAUCUAUGGUGAUACAGGACAAACUAUGUAGGGUAUUAUUUGAGUCUCCAUUUCUUAUACUUUCAGAUUAAAAAAUAGUGUAUUUCUCAAAAAUAUGAUUUACUAAAACAAAAAUCUUAAAUAAUAGCUGAACUCAUGCUAUUUGAUUUAAUAAUGAAUA
Molecule: long non-coding RNA, 32759 nt
Filed under: Gallus gallus (chicken)
Lineage: Eukaryota; Metazoa; Chordata; Aves; Galliformes; Phasianidae
Source: RNAcentral